This 501-nucleotide ribosomal RNA is filed under the name uncultured bacterium. Its description in RNAcentral is "partial 16S ribosomal RNA". It matches the Rfam family "Bacterial small subunit ribosomal RNA", at positions 30 to 523 of the family's 1533-position model. The record is from RNAcentral.
AUUGAACGCUGGCGGCAGGCUUAACACAUGCAAGUCGAGCGGGGGAAGGUAGCUUGCUACUGGACCUAGCGGCGGACGGGUGAGUAAUGCUUAGGAAUCUACCUAUUAGUGGGGGACAACAUCUCGAAAGGGAUGCUAAUACCGCAUACGUCCUACGGGAGAAAGCAGGGGAUCUUCGGACCUUGCGCUAAUAGAUGAGCCUAAGUCGGAUUAGCUAGUUGGUGGGGUAAAGGCCUACCAAGGCGACGAUCUGUAGCGGGUCUGAGAGGAUGAUCCGCCACACUGGGACUGAGACACGGCCCAGACUCCUACGGGAGGCAGCAGUGGGGAAUAUUGGACAAUGGGGGGAACCCUGAUCCAGCCAUGCCGCGUGUGUGAAGAAGGCCUUAUGGUUGUAAAGCACUUUAAGCGAGGAGGAGGCUACUCUAGUUAAUACCUAGGGAUAAUGGACGUUACUCGCAGAAUAAGCACCGGCUAACUACGUGCCAGCAGCCGCCGUAA